GACGAACGCUGGCGGCGUGCUUAACACAUGCAAGUGGAGCGACGAACCAGGGCUUGCCCUGGGGCAGAGCCGCGAACGGGUGAGUAACGCGUGGGUAACGUGCCCCGAUGACUGGGACAACCCGGGGAAACCCGGGCUAAUACCGGAUGUGCCCCCUCACAUCAGUGAGGUGUGUAAAGGAAGCUUCGGCCUCCGCAUCGGGAUCGGCCCGCGGCCCAUUAGCUUGUUGGUGAGGUAACGGCUCACCAAGGCUGCGAUGGGUAGCUGGUCUGAGAGGACGAUCAGCCACACUGGGACUGAGACACGGCCCAGACUCCUACGGGAGGCAGCAGUGGGGAAUCUUGCGCAAUGCGCGAAAGCGUGACGCAGCAACGCCGCGUGGGGGAAGACGGCCUUCGGGUUGUAAACCCCUUUCAGUUGGGACGAAGGUCGGGCGGUUAACAGCCGUUCCGGCUGACGGUACCUUCACAAGAAGCCCCGGCUAACUACGUG
RNAcentral lists this ribosomal RNA (492 nucleotides) under uncultured bacterium. Its description in RNAcentral is "partial 16S ribosomal RNA". It matches the Rfam family "Bacterial small subunit ribosomal RNA", at positions 28 to 507 of the family's 1533-position model. The record is from RNAcentral.